This 1527-nucleotide unclassified non-coding RNA is filed under the name Hevea brasiliensis (rubber tree). Lineage: Eukaryota; Viridiplantae; Streptophyta; Magnoliopsida; Malpighiales; Euphorbiaceae. The record is from RNAcentral.
AAAUAUCCCCUGCACCAACCCGGGAAGCAAAAUCAACUAGAGCGGUUGUGAAACCACAGAAACUCAUUGCUCCUUCACGCCCGAACACCUGGCACUUCGCCACACCACAACCCUCGUCUACUGUGGUCUUAUCACACAAAAGGCUAGGUGUCCAUCUUUUUUCUUAAUGACAAUUUUACCCUCUUCACCUUUUAUUUUGUUGAGCCUCAGGUUGGCCAUUUUCGUAAUAUAAAGCGGAUACACCGUCUGCAGCGGUGAAGGAGUUUAAUUUUCAAUUGCCUCUCUGCGUUCGAAGAAAACUCCGACAUAGUGUGUGAAAGCUAAAGGAGUAGAAAACAAUAAUACUAAUACUAAUAAUAAUAAUAAUAUAAUUUUAAUUGUAGAAAAAUAGAGAUAAAAAAUAACUUAGAACCGAGAAAAAUGAAGAAGUGCGAGCUAUGCAAGUUAUCGGCGAGGAGCUACUGCGAAUCGGACGAGGCCUGCCUCUGUUGGGAUUGCGAUGCUAGAGUUCAUGGAGCCAACUUUCUGGUCGCUAGACAUACGCGCAACCUCCUCUGCCAGACCUGUCAAUCUAUCACUCCUUGGAAAGCUACCGGUGUUAAACUUGGCCGCACUGUUUCCAUCUGUGAUAGAUGUGCAAAUGGAGCUAAUCGUAAAGAAGAAGAAGAAUCUGAGGAGGCUAAUAAUGAUGAUGUAAGCACUGAGGACGAUGAUGAUCUUUCCACUGGCGAUAAGGAGGAGAACGAGGGGGAUACUGAUAAUCAGGUGGUUCCGUGGUCGUCUACAACGCCGCCUCUGGCCACCAGUUCUUCCUCUUCUUCUGCUUCUAGUAGCCAAGAGAGUGUGAGUAGAUUCACUCGCAGAGUCUUUUGUGAAUCUGUGAACGUGAAAUCUUUGAAACGGACGCGUGAGAGUUCUACAGAUCUUCGGUCUACGUUUCCGGUUUCUGCUGUGCGCUCUUUUACUUUUCUUCAGUUUCUAGUUUUGAUUUUGGUUUUGCGCUUUUUUUUUUUUUUAAGGUUUCUACAGUUGCAUUUGAACUGAAUGUGGUUUUGUUCUUUAUUCAAACAAUAGAUCGAUGCCAACCACUCUUCUUCUCAACGGAGGUACGGUCGACCAGCGUUGACAACUCAGGCGAGUGGCGGGGGCGGUGACGGAGAAGCCAUUUCUGUUGACUACUCCUUGUCCUUGAGGCCUAUGAAAGACCGUAGAACUGAAACGGAGUACUCCUUUCAGGCCGGUUCGGGAUCUGUGGCGCAGUAACGGGAAAUCGAACGAAGAAUCCGAAGCCGUCGAUGCUGAUUCGUCAGGUAAUCCUAGCCGAACGAUUUGAGGUAAUUUUGGCUCGGCCUUUCCUAACAGCUGUCUAUAGUAGAGUUUUCGUUUGACCAUUAUUCAGUUAUGUAUUAAAAUUACUAUUUAGUGAGGUUUCUUCUGUUAAAAUAGCGUAUGUAACAAGGACUUUUGUUCUUAAUUUUAUAUAUAUUAAAAUAAUAAUAUAUACAUGAUAUCCAUUUUUGUUUAAUU